Molecule: long non-coding RNA, 1014 nt
Organism: Drosophila pseudoobscura
Lineage: Eukaryota; Metazoa; Arthropoda; Insecta; Diptera; Drosophilidae
Exons: 2
Source: RefSeq, a predicted model, not a curated record
UAAAUUUGUUCAUCACACACCAUUUAGUUUACUUGAGAAUGAUAAUAGUAUUUUAGAAAAUGUGAUAUGUAUAAUAUUAGGCAGUUCUUUCAUUUUAAUUUAAUUGUUUUCUAUUUCAUUCCAAAAUGUAAUAGCCCGAUUUAAAACCACUUUUUCUAUAUUUUAGCGUUGUUUUUUUUAAAUAAAUAUUGAAUGACAAGUGUUGGGAUUCCAAUUAUUAGACACUAGAUGGCAAUGUCGUGCUGGCCAUGUUUUCCGAUCCACUUAAUAUAUACAAAAUUUUUAAUCAGGUCUAAAUAUCAUUUAAUUUUUUCCAAUGGAAUAAAAUUACUCGUACAUUAUAGACUUAAGUAAAAAUUGCGUGUCUUGAAUUUUAAAGUAAGUAUAGAAAUUGCCAGUUAUCUGGCUUUAGCUAAUUAAGAAAGCUGCAUUUUGUAAAUUAACUUAUUGACACGCAAAACAUUUCAAAUAUAUGUAUACAUGUAAACGAUAACUAGCUAUAUUUAGACUGCUAUUUUUAGUUUUGUAGUACGAACAUGUAUAUACAUAAGUAAAUAAAUCUGUUUACGAAUGAACUACUCGAUAUAUUUAUAUGCCCAAAGCCCGAUCGGAUAAUGCAAUGUUGCAAUUUUGACAUCACAGGAGCAAAAACCGCUCCACAACCAGCGUCAGAGGAGCAAUUUACAUGCUCCAAGUACCUUGGACAGUCCUGAGCCAUGAACUGACCGACGGCGAGCAGCUCUUCUGUGGCUCUCAAUUCGAUAACAGCGGGGGCAACAAGGCAGCACAGCAACAGAUACUGCGUCCACUACUCUAACUCUCUAAGUGAUCUAAGAAAGAAAGAUGAUUGGAGGUCUGUGGACAAUGACCCCCGAUAAAAAUAAAAAAGAACCAAACAGCUAUUUGAUCAAUUCAAUGACGUAACAGACAUAUUCAUAGUUGUAAUAAGUAAAAUAUUUUUUUAUUGCAAAGUAGAAAAAUGAAAUAAAUGAAGUCAAUAUUAAUUUCGAAAAA